GCGUGGGUGAAGAAGGCCCUAGGGUUGUAAAUCCCUUUCAGCGGGGAAGAUAAUGACGGUACCCGCAGAAGAAGCCCCGGCUAACUCCGUGCCAGCAGCCGCGGUAAUACGGAGGGGGCUAGCGUUGUUCGGAAUUACUGGGCGUAAAGCGCGCGUAGGCGGACUUUCAAGUCAGGGGUGAAAUCCCGAGGCUCAACCUCGGAACUGCCUUUGAUACUGUAAGUCUCGAGUCCGAGAGAGGUGAGUGGAAUUCCUAGUGUAGAGGUGAAAUUCGU
RNAcentral lists this ribosomal RNA (275 nucleotides) under uncultured bacterium. RNAcentral describes it as "partial 16S ribosomal RNA". It matches the Rfam family "Bacterial small subunit ribosomal RNA", at positions 399 to 691 of the family's 1533-position model. The record is from RNAcentral.